Non-coding RNA from Gasterosteus aculeatus aculeatus (three-spined stickleback), 3428 nucleotides. The record is from RefSeq and is a predicted model, not a curated record. NCBI's taxonomy places the organism in Eukaryota, Metazoa, Chordata, Actinopteri, Perciformes, Gasterosteidae.
CACGGUGGAUUUCAUCAGAAAGCCUUCAAAUAUAAGUCAGCCGUUUAAUUCAAACAACUUAGACGGUGUCAGCCUCAAUUUCAGAAAGGGGUGUCAGCGACCAGCGACCACGUUGGUGUUGGUUCAUCUGCCUGAGCCACAGUAAUGUGACCCGGAAUCGUAUUUCAUUUAAAGGACACGGCGGUGGAAGUGAUGGAGAGUCUGCUCAGGGAUCAUAAACUCUAACCCUGGAACGCCUUUCCCCUUCUUCGCUCUUUUUAGCAUCGUUGGAUGUGAACCAAUGCCGGGAUUUAGAUGCCUGAUGUUGCACCAGUCCUCCCAGUGACAGCUCUAGCCUCGUGUGAAGAAACUAUGUUGUAACCUGCUGACAGCCUCUGGAACGUUUGUGUGGCCGUCCGUGUGAUGUCGCGUGUUGUUUCGAUGCAGUUGUGGAACUUCCCGUCACAAUGACUGUGUUUCCUGUUUCCCGGUCAUUCCGUGACUGGACUUCAGGAGGCUGCGUCCGCCCUGCUCAGCUGACCUCUGGUUCUCCCAUCAGGCCUCCGCUGGUGAGCGGUGCAGGCGUGUGCGAGCUGCGCGCUGCGUUGUGGUUCCAGGGGGUUUGAUGUGGUUUGAUGUGGUCAGCGGGCUGUGGAAGCUCGGGGAAGCAGCUCACUGCUCUGACUUGACCAUUCGUUGUUGUUUUUGAGUAGGGUGACCUGUCAUUUACAUCUUCAGGAUGUUUGCAGCUGAGGGGGCCGAACAAGGGCGACUUUCUUACGAUACAUUAAGGGACUGCACUUGCGCUCAGGAAGGAAGGUGUGCUAUUUAAAAUCCCUGGACCAUUGCAAAUACUGAUGCAACGAUAAUGCAAAUCUUUCAGGUGACACAAUGAACAUAUUGUGUAUGACAUGCACUUGAUUCCCUUUUUAAAUCGAGGAAUAGGAGCAAGCCUGAAGGGGUUCAUGAGAAAAAAGGGCCGUACUUUGGAAACAAUGUAUUUGGUCCGUAGUAAAUGAGACGAUUAGAAACAGGAAGGUCUUGCAGGAUUGAGCCGAUCCUCUCAGGAUCAACGUUUGAUUCAUCUUAAAUGGGUGGGUCGGCAAUAUGAUUGAUGGCAGUUCAUAAUUUCAGCAUGAAUAUGUGCCGUGCCGCUACGUUUUGCCUUUGGAAUAGUAAUGUCGGAUUCAGUCGAACCAGAGUAAAAACGCCCAAGUUUCCUCUCAUUUUGGGAAUAAUAUUCAAUCUUACCACAUCAUACAGAACCAUAGAAUGUUCACAUUUGGAGGUUUGCAAAUGAGAAGCUUUAAAAAAAGCAUUAUGAGAAGUCAUCAGCUGCCAAGCUGGUGGAGACAGACGUUGAAAUGUGACCCCGGUGCAGAAAGUAUUUUUGAAAUCCCAGUUGCAUAGCAACGCAUCUCCAUCUGCAGUUAAGCUUCCCUCUGCCGAGGAAACAACUGUCAUUUUUGCUUUGCACGCAGUUUCAUACGGUAAAGUUUCCAAAGACAAACACAAACACCACUCUGUUUGAAGAGUGGGGGGCUAUUUUUCUAUUUUACAGCCUUCUAAUGAAUUGUGCCUUUUUCACACAGCAGCUACAGCGUGAAAGCUGAUAUUAUGAAUAAUUAACAACCACAGAUUCUGUAAGUCCAAAUGUCUUCCCUCAAUAUCAACUUACUUUAAACAAAAGCAUUGUAACUUGCAAAUGUAAAGUGUGUAAAAUGACAUGGUUGGCUCCACAUUCCUCAUAGUGUUGAACUAAUUCUCAAGCCAAUAGUAAAUACACAAAUGCAUCAUGUAGCGCUGCACAUUUGAGGGAUGUGCAUACAUACAACGUGUGUCCACAGGACAGGUGUCGAUAGGUGCAAAUAAGGACACAUAUACGUACUUACAACAACAACAACUGAGUUACAGAGGUAACUCGUAGCUCGGGUAAAAUGAGUGAAGUGGGUCGUGUUGAAUCAUUCCGACGUGUUCAAUGUGCACAAAAAAAUGUGCACAAAAAAUGCACACGCACUCGCAGUCAAACCUCUGUUUGUACAUGCUGGAGGUUCCUAAUUCCACAUUCUGAGGAUCCACUUUGGCUUCCGCCCGUGUGUCACACCUGAGAGCGCAGAGCGUUUAUCUUGACGCACCUCGACAUCCCCCCUCUGCCCCACAUGGUGCUCAUCAGUUUGCUGGCCACGCCUGGGUGAUCGUCUAGUUUGCAGAAUACUGUACUUUCUGCAUUUUAGCUGACAAACUGCUCGCUCCACUGAGCCUGUUGUUGAGUUUAGUCUCGCCGAGCAGAAAGAGCCCAACGCACAUGCAGAAAAACAGCAAUGAACGGGGAGUUUUCUUGGUGAAGGUUGGCGUGGGGGCGUAUCGGCAGCUGGAGGCCUCGCGGGUCAAACAGGUGCACAGAGGAAAGCUGGGAAACCCGCAACCCACAAUGCAAAGGGAGAGACAAAGACGUGCAACAGACGGACGGGGACCAGGAAAUCAUGUAAAAAUGUAAAAAUAGGUGCAAGCAGGUAAACUCCAUAACAGGCAACAUGAUCAUCAGUCCGUUCUUAUCUGCUGACACAACUUUAAUGCACAAGUAGUGCAUGCAGUGUUUCUCCAGUUAUUUAAGUAUUGCGUUUGUUUGUGCUUUAGUAAUUCUCAGCCGUGUCAUGAAAGGUUCGCAUUGAGCACAGUGUUAAUCCUCAGAACACAUACUGGAGAAUCUGUCCGACUGCCGACGCGAACAUGGAAUGCGUUGCAUCUAUUGUGGAGCUGUUGCUUGUCUUUUAGGUCCUUGUGGCCAUUUUCAUCUGAACAUCUUCAACAUGUCUCAUUCUGUGGCGGAACACUGCAGAUAUGAAGGGACAUUUUUUCGCUUUAAUCUGGGAUACUGUAGGUCCAGACUGCAACGGGGCACAGUCCUUUUUAUUCAUUUACUUUUGCAACUUGGAUCGCGUUAAAUCAUAAUUCCUUGGGUGGGGCCCAGCUUCCAGCGUGCCACUUCCCUUGGAGCUAAUGUAAGAGAGCAGGCUUCAGAUGUUAAUACACGUUACUGCUGAGCAGCCUUUUUUUAAGGGGGGCAUGGCUGUACACUUGGCUGGAGAACAUGCAAUAUAUCCCUUUUUUUAAUCUUGGCCCCAUAAGGGCUUCUGGGUGGUGAAACUGCAGAGCAAACAAGUUGUUGCAAUAAAAACAUUUGAUUGUAGGCAAUCCGUGCAGAAAAUCUUUUGACAAUAAUGAAAAUUCCAAUUCAUGUUUUUCUUUUUCUUCUUUUCUUCAGCCAGAUGGGACACCCUGGUGGAGCAAUUGGAGGUUGUAUGACCGGACCAAGUGGUUCAUGUCUGGCCGUUGAAAAGCACCUGGGGUCGGGGUGUAAUGGUUGCAGGAAGGGAGACACAUCAGGGACAAUUUUAAGGAACUUGAAUGCAACAUGUAAUGUGAAGUAAAAUAUCUGUCUUACUGCC